This 521-nucleotide long non-coding RNA is filed under the name Androctonus crassicauda. Lineage: Eukaryota; Metazoa; Arthropoda; Arachnida; Scorpiones; Buthidae. The record is from RNAcentral.
UUAAUAUUGGCAUUUCUUGGUCAUAAAAUUCAGUCCAUCUGUGAAUCUACAUGAUAAAAAUUGUAGAUUAUCAUGAUAAAAACCUGAUAUUAAUAGAAGAAGAAAAUUUAAUAGACUUGAAAAAUGACCUUAUGCACAAAGAUUCCCAUUCUGAGCUAACAUGUUGGAUUUCUCUGUGGAGUCAGUAUUCUCAAUUAGCUACUACACCCAUUAAAUCCUUGUUGCUGUUUGGAUCAUCAUAUCUUUGUGAAUUAAGUUUCUCAGCUCUCAUGGAAAUGAAAUGGAAAAAAACAGGAAUAAUUGCUGAUGGUAAAUGAGGGAUUGUGUAUGUGUUUAUUUAAUUUAGAACCACAUCUUGAUAUAAUUGGUUCUGAAAAUCAGUCAUAUCCUUCUUGUUAAUAAAAUUAUUAUUUAUAUUACCUACUUAAUAAUUUCGAUAGAACAAUAUUAUUUUAUUAUUGUUAUCUAUAUUAAUAUUUUGAUUCAUAUUAAUAAAUUUUUUUGGAUAUUUAUUUGGUGUG